CACCCUAUAUCUUUUAAUUGGAGCAUUUAGUCCAUUUACAUUUAAAAUAGAUGCAGAGGAAUAUUUUAUACAGAAGAGAAGACACCCAGAAGAGGAGAAGGCAGUGUGACUACAGAGGCAGAGAUUGGCAUAAUACAGCCACAAGCCAAGUAAUGCUAGCUGCCAACAGAUGCUGGAAGAGGCAAGAAAAGGAUUGUUCCUGAGAGCCUCUGGAGGGAGCACAGCCCUACCAAUACUUUCAUUUUGGUCUAGUGAUAUGGAUUUUGGAUUUCCGCCAUCCAGAAUUGUGAGAAAAUAAAUUUCUAUUGUUAUCAGA
This is a long non-coding RNA of Hipposideros armiger (great roundleaf bat), 316 nucleotides long. RefSeq lists it as uncharacterized. The record is from RefSeq and is a predicted model, not a curated record. The transcript is spliced from 2 exons. NCBI's taxonomy places the organism in Eukaryota, Metazoa, Chordata, Mammalia, Chiroptera, Hipposideridae.